UGCAGCUACCUGUGUGAUUGAGUUCCUCUAUCAUGAGUUUCGACUGAAUUAGGGUUAAGGUGAACUCGUCAAACCCAACAUCAGUCAUAUGAAUCAAUCGAUCGAUCCGAGUCCGAUGUGAAACCCCAAUGGAAAACUAUUUUUCUAUUAUUUCACUCUGCCAUGGCCAUGGGCUUAAGGACUUGAUCUUUCGAACACAUAG
RNAcentral lists this long non-coding RNA (202 nucleotides) under Elaeis guineensis (African oil palm). Its description in RNAcentral is "long non-coding RNA (EGUI_LNC077948)". The record is from RNAcentral. Lineage: Eukaryota; Viridiplantae; Streptophyta; Magnoliopsida; Arecales; Arecaceae.